UCAGUUCAUUGCAAGUGGCAUUCUGACAUUUGCAGCUGGAAGUUCUCCAUUCAUGCCUGUGGUGAAGCUGUCCUUCAUAUUCAACAUUAUCAGCCUUUUCUGGUCAAUCGCAGCUAUAGUUCUCUGUCCGUUAUUAAAUGAAGGAAGCUGGCAUUUGUAUAACAGCCCAGAAUACGACACAAGGGUACGUU
Molecule: long non-coding RNA, 191 nt
Organism: Sinocyclocheilus grahami
Lineage: Eukaryota; Metazoa; Chordata; Actinopteri; Cypriniformes; Cyprinidae
Exons: 3
Source: RefSeq, a predicted model, not a curated record